GGCUACCUGGCGCAAUGGUAGCGCGUUUGGCUUCGAUUGCCUUACGUAAUCUGCUACCAAAAGGUUGCAGGUUCGAGUCCUGCGGUGGUCA
Molecule: transfer RNA, 91 nt
Filed under: Heterobasidion irregulare TC 32-1
Lineage: Eukaryota; Fungi; Basidiomycota; Agaricomycetes; Russulales; Bondarzewiaceae
Rfam family: tRNA
About the family: Transfer RNA (tRNA) molecules are approximately 80 nucleotides in length.
Source: Rfam by way of RNAcentral